Molecule: ribosomal RNA, 511 nt
Filed under: uncultured archaeon
Lineage: Archaea
Description: bacterial SSU rRNA
Rfam family: Archaeal small subunit ribosomal RNA
Source: RNAcentral
AAUUCUGCAAUAGGCGAAAGCUUGACAGAGUUACUCUGAGUGAUGCCCGUUAAGGGCAUCUUUUGGCACCUCUAAAAAUGGUGCAGAAUAAGGGGUGGGCAAGUCUGGUGUCAGCCGCCGCGGUAAUACCAGCACCCCGAGUGGUCGGGACGAUUAUUGGGCCUAAAGCAUCCGUAGCUUGUCCUGCAAGUCCUCCGUUAAAUCCACCUGCUCAACAGAUGGGCUGCGGGGGAUACUACAGGGCUAGGAGGCGGGAGAGGCAAACGGUACUCAGUGGGUAGGGGUAAAAUCCUCUGAUCCACUGAAGACCACCAGUGGCGAAGGCGGUUUGCCAGAACGCGCUCGACGGUGAGGGAUGAAAGCUGGGGGAGCAAACCGGAUUAGAUACCCGGGUAGUCCCAGCUGUAAACGAUGCAGACUCGGUGAUGGGUUGGCCUCGUGCCAGCCCAGUGCCGCAGGGAAGCCGUUAAGUCUGCCGCCUGGGGAGUACGGUCGCAAGACUGAAACUUAA